CUGUUGUUUUAGGGAUUUAGGGAUUGUUCUUAAGAACUGAAAUUGUUUGAUUGAUUACGUUUUAUUUUCAACCCUAAAAAUCCCCAAAUUUUGAAGGAGUUUAAGGAUGUACAAGUUGGAACACCUCCACUAAAGCUAAGUCUCAUUUAUUGGUUAUCAUUUGAUUGAUUUUGAUGGUUUAAGUCUCAUUUACUGGUUGUCGUUCGAUUGAUUUUAAUUGAUUAAAUAGUGUCACUAACUUAUUUUGGUUGGAAUUUAUUGAUUUUGUAGAUAACAUAAUGAAGUCUGAGGUAGCGCUCUGAACCAAUUGGUAAAGUUGUGGAUUCCUUGUUUGCAUCGCAACUGGAGCUUUUCUGGUGAACCAGUUUGAAGAUUCUCAACCGCGUGUGACAAUUAGGCCAUCCACUUUCAGACCCUGAUGAACAUGAUUCUGACCCAAACACUAAGAAGACAAAGAAGAAGAAACCUUCAGAUAUGAAG
Long non-coding RNA from Papaver somniferum (opium poppy), 480 nucleotides. RefSeq lists it as uncharacterized. The transcript is spliced from 3 exons. Lineage: Eukaryota; Viridiplantae; Streptophyta; Magnoliopsida; Ranunculales; Papaveraceae. The record is from RefSeq and is a predicted model, not a curated record.